Molecule: RNA transcript, 1858 nt
Organism: Vigna unguiculata (cowpea)
Lineage: Eukaryota; Viridiplantae; Streptophyta; Magnoliopsida; Fabales; Fabaceae
Gene: ECR1
Gene name: E1 C-terminal related 1
Source: RefSeq, a predicted model, not a curated record
GUGGUAGCUUAAAAUUGAAGCUGAAAAAAAAAAGGAAAAGGGAAAACUGUGAAAUUAGAAAAUCUGAGACGCGGGUGCCGGUGAAGAGAGCGUAGAAGGUAGCGAGUGAAGCAUCUUCAGCUCCAAUGGCGGAUACCUUGAGUCGAUCCAGAGACCUCGACAAGCUCCUUCUCCGCCCUGGCAAUCUUGUCGGUCCCAGGUUCGAACCUGGCGCCGAGUUGCGAGAUGACCUUCAGGCCUUCGCCAAAGUGUUGGUGGUAGGGGCAGGUGGUUUGGGUUGCGAAUUGUUGAAGGAUUUAGCCCUCACUGGUUUCCGAAACCUUGAGGUCAUUGAUAUGGAUCGCAUAGAGGUUACUAAUCUCAACCGCCAAUUCUUGUUCAGACUUGAAGAUGUUGGCAAACCCAAAGCCGAGGUAGCUGCCAAGCGGGUCAUGGAGAGAAUCAGUGGCGUGCAAAUUGUGCCGCAUUUUUGCAGGAUUGAGGACAAGGAAAUUGAAUUUUACAACGAUUUUAGCAUUAUUGCCCUUGGUCUUGAUUCUGUUGAGGCACGCAGCUAUAUCAAUACUGUUGCCUGUAGUUUUCUAGAGUACGAUUCUGAUGAUAAUCCACGAGAAGAGACUAUCAAACCUAUGGUGGAUGGUGGGACUGAAGGUUUCAAGGGCCAUGCUAGGGUUAUCUUGCCUGGGAUCACACCUUGCUUCGAGUGUACAAUCUGGCUUUUUCCACCUCAAGUAAAGUUUCCUUUGUGCACCCUGGCGGAAACCCCUAGGACUGCUGCCCACUGUAUUGAAUAUGCUCACUUGAUUAAGUGGGAUGAGGUUCAUGGUGGAGUGGCUUUUGAUCCAGAUAACCCUGAGCAUAUGAAAUGGGUUUAUGACGAGGCUGUAAAGAGGGCUGAACUUUUUGGCAUUCCUGGAGUUACUUAUUCUUUUACACAGGGUGUUGUGAAGAACAUCAUUCCAGCUAUUGCUUCAACAAAUGCUAUUAUAUCAGCUGCAUGUGCACUAGAAACAUUAAAGAUUGCAACAGAGUGCAGCAAAACUUUGUCGAAUUAUUUAACGUAUAAUGGAUCACAAGGCCUCCAUACCGAAGUGGCAGAAUUUGAAAGGGACAAGGAUUGUCUUGUGUGUGGUCCUGGUAUACGUAUUGAACUGGACACUUCAAUCACAUUGCAAAAGUUCAUGGAUCUUUUGGAAGAACAUCCUAAGUUGAGGUUAUCAAAAGCUAGUAUUACACAUCGAGGAAAGAAUCUGUACAUGCAAGCUCCCCCUGUAUUGGAAGAAAUGACUCGAUCAAACCUGAGUCUAUCUCUUUUUAACCUCAUGGGUAAACUGCCCAAGGAUGUCGUGCAUGUGAAUGGUAUGACAAUCAAGAACGACCAAAAGUUCUCUUGUUUGAGAAAAUUACGUGUUGUUUUCAAGGGAGUCGAUGGGGUUACGGAUAUGGAUACAGCUGGAGGAGCAUAACCUACGCCAUCGUAAAAUGUGUUGGUGCUUGGAGUUUUUAGGCUCUAUUAGGAUAAUUAAUGUUAGAUAUCUCAGAUUGUUUCCAACAUUGAACAGAUUCCGUGCAAGACAUUGAAGUCAACAGUCGAAUAUAUAAUUUUUGAAGAACAGUGCAAGCUACACUUUAUAUUAUUGGUUAAAAUUUAUUGAAUAUCACAAAACCACGAGUGAAACUUAUUUAAUAAGAUUAUAGAUCCACUAAAUUGUGAUUUGCAAUAAAUUUCAGUAGUUGAAAAGUAUUCGACUGUCUGAAGGUGUAUUAUUAGCACACUUUUCAACGUAUGAAUAUUAACAUGGAGUAUAGUAUUAUGUAUAAUUUUAUGAAGUGUCUGUAUCAAUAUAUAAAAAAAAUG